This 235-nucleotide ribosomal RNA is filed under the name uncultured bacterium. Its description in RNAcentral is "partial 16S ribosomal RNA". It matches the Rfam family "Bacterial small subunit ribosomal RNA", at positions 118 to 347 of the family's 1533-position model. The record is from RNAcentral.
UGAGUAACCUGCCCUUAACUCUGGGAUAAGCCUGGGAAACUGGGUCUAAUACCGGAUAUGACUCCUCAUCGCAUGGUGGGGGGUGGAAAGCUUUUUGUGGUUUUGGAUGGACUCGCGGCCUAUCAGCUUGUUGGUGAGGUAAUGGCUCACCAAGGCGACGACGGGUAGCCGGCCUGAGAGGGUGACCCGGCCACACUGUGACUGAGACACGGCCCAGACCUCCGUACGGGAGCAG